AUCAAACUGGCAUUCGGUAGAUAGAACCUACCGAACGAGGGGAACAUUCACAUGUAACCUGCUGCAUCAUACGAACGGUGGUUUUCGUGUAAUUAGACGUGAACGGAGACCGGCUCUUGCUGCUGAUUUCAUGGAACUCUAAAUCGGAUACCUCCACAUGGCGAGCCGGUCAAACUUCCACACGAUGCGACACGGAAACUACCGAACGGAAAUUUGUGAGAUUUGGAUAU
Non-coding RNA from Pelobates cultripes (western spadefoot toad), 230 nucleotides. NCBI's taxonomy places the organism in Eukaryota, Metazoa, Chordata, Amphibia, Anura, Pelobatidae. The record is from the annotation of a GenBank genome assembly.